RNAcentral lists this ribosomal RNA (253 nucleotides) under uncultured bacterium. RNAcentral describes it as "partial 16S ribosomal RNA". It matches the Rfam family "Bacterial small subunit ribosomal RNA", at positions 524 to 776 of the family's 1533-position model. The record is from RNAcentral.
UACAGAGGGUGCGAGCGUUAAUCGGAAUUACUGGGCGUAAAGCGCACGUAGGUGGUGACGUAAGUCGGGUGUGAAAGCCCCGGGCUCAACCUGGGAAUUGCAUUCGAGACUGCAUUGCUGGAGUACGGAAGAGGAGGGCGGAAUUCCCGGUGUAGCGGUGAAAUGCGUAGAUAUCGGGAGGAACAUCAGUGGCGAAGGCGGCCCUCUGGUCCAGUACUGACACUCAAGUGCGAAAGCGUGGGGAGCAAACAGG